This 497-nucleotide ribosomal RNA is filed under the name uncultured bacterium. RNAcentral describes it as "partial 16S ribosomal RNA". It matches the Rfam family "Bacterial small subunit ribosomal RNA", at positions 28 to 507 of the family's 1533-position model. The record is from RNAcentral.
GACGAACGCUGGCGGCGUGCCUAAUACAUGCAAGUAGAACGCUGAAGAGAGGAGCUUGCUCUUCUUGGAUGAGUUGCGAACGGGUGAGUAACGCGUAGGUAACCUGCCUUGUAGCGGGGGAUAACUAUUGGAAACGAUAGCUAAUACCGCAUAACAAUGGAUGACACAUGUCAUUUAUUUGAAAGGGGCAAUUGCUCCACUACAAGAUGGACCUGCGUUGUAUUAGCUAGUAGGUGAGGUAAUGGCUCACCUAGGCGACGAUACAUAGCCGACCUGAGAGGGGGAUCGGCCACACUGGGAAUGGGAAACGGCCCAGACUCCUACGGGAGGCAGCAGUAGGGGAUCUUUGGCAAUGGGGGCAACCCUGAACGAGGAAAGCCGGGGGAGGGAAGAAGGGUUUCGGAUCGUAAAGCUCUGUUGUAAGUCAAGAAAGGGUGUGAGAGUGGAAAGUUCACACUGUGACGGUAGCUUACCAGAAAGGGACGGCUAACUACGUG